UGUAUCUGAAAGGGCCAUUCCAGUGAAGACGAGUAGGGCGGGGCACGUGAAACCCUGUCUGAACAUGGGGGGACCAUCCUCCAAGGCUAAAUACUACUGACCGACCGAUAGUGAACCAGUACCGUGAGGGAAAGGCGAAAAGAACCCCGGAGAGGGGAGUGAAAUAGAACCUGAAACCGUGUGCGUACAAGCAGUAGGAGCUCCGCAAGGAGUGACUGCGUACCUUUUGUAUAAUGGGUCAGCGACUUACUGUUCGUGGCAAGCUUAACCGUAUAGGGGAGGCGAAGGGAAACCGAGUCUGAUAAGGGCGCAUAGUCGCGGGCAGUAGACCCGAAACCGGGUGAUCUAGUCAUGCCCAGGGUGAAGGUGCGGUAACACGCACUGGAGGCCCGAACCCACUCCCGUUGCAAAGGUAGGGGAUGAGGUGUGAUUAGGAGUGAAAAGCUAAUCGAACCCGGAGAUAGCUGGUUCUCCUCGAAAGCUAUUUAGGUAGCGCCUCAUAUGUAUCCUCUCGGGGGUAGAGCACUGUUAUGGCUAGGGGGUCAUCGCGACUUACCAAACCAUUGCAAACUCCGAAUACCGAGACGGACUGUAUGGGAGACACACGGCGGGUGCUAACGUCCGUCGUGAAAAGGGAAACAACCCAGACCCACAGCUAAGGUCCCAAAUUCACUGCUAAGUGGAAAACCAUGUGGAAAGGCACAGACAGCCAGGAGGUUGGCUUAGAAGCAGCCACCCUUUAAAGAAAGCGUAAUAGCUCACUGGUCGAGUCGGUCUGCGGGGAAGAUUUAACGGGGCUAAGCAGUG
RNAcentral lists this ribosomal RNA (807 nucleotides) under Stenotrophomonas maltophilia. Its description in RNAcentral is "partial 23S ribosomal RNA". It matches the Rfam family "Bacterial large subunit ribosomal RNA", at positions 380 to 1191 of the family's 2925-position model. Lineage: Bacteria; Pseudomonadati; Pseudomonadota; Gammaproteobacteria; Lysobacterales; Lysobacteraceae. The record is from RNAcentral.